GGUUAGUGGCUCAGUGGUAGAGUGCUCGCCUCGAACAUGAUCCCUGGGUUGGAUCCCCAGCACCA
RNAcentral lists this transfer RNA (65 nucleotides) under Marmota monax (woodchuck). RNAcentral describes it as "tRNA.Ser". The record is from RNAcentral. Lineage: Eukaryota; Metazoa; Chordata; Mammalia; Rodentia; Sciuridae.